This is a transfer RNA of Pseudogymnoascus pannorum, 65 nucleotides long. It matches the Rfam family "tRNA". Rfam says of the family: Transfer RNA (tRNA) molecules are approximately 80 nucleotides in length. NCBI's taxonomy places the organism in Eukaryota, Fungi, Ascomycota, Leotiomycetes, Thelebolales, Thelebolaceae. The record is from Rfam.
GCCUUUGUAGCUUAAUGGUAGAGCAUAAUACUGUUAAUAUUGUGGUUCUAUUCAUCUUAAGGGCU